AUCGCUUCUCGGCCUUUUGGCUAAGAUCAAGUGUAGUAUCUGUUCUUAUCAGUUUAAUAUCUGAUACAUCCCCUACCCGGGGACCAUAUAUUAAAUUGAUUUUUGGAUCAGGGAGAUGGAAUAGGGGCUUGCUCCAUCCAUUGGGGCAGUGGUGGCUCAGCGGUUAAGGCUCUGGGUUACUGAUCAGAA
Small nuclear RNA from Myxocyprinus asiaticus (Chinese sucker), 189 nucleotides. RefSeq annotates it as U2 spliceosomal RNA. The transcript has a single exon. NCBI's taxonomy places the organism in Eukaryota, Metazoa, Chordata, Actinopteri, Cypriniformes, Catostomidae. The record is from RefSeq and is a predicted model, not a curated record.